This 590-nucleotide long non-coding RNA is filed under the name Equus caballus (horse). RNAcentral's name for it is "lncRNA (ENSECAG00000049725.1)". The record is from RNAcentral. Lineage: Eukaryota; Metazoa; Chordata; Mammalia; Perissodactyla; Equidae.
GUGGGAAGCCAGGUGCCAUGUAAUGAGGACACUCAGGCAUUCUACGGAGAAACCCACAUGGCAGAGAAUGGAAGCCUAUGGCCAAUAACCAACAGGAAUUGAGACCUGCUAGCAACUAACCACAUGAUCCUGGUAGCAGAUUCUCAAGCCCCAAGUUUUGCCCGUUCGGAUCCUGGGCGCAGACCAAGCACUGCUCAUCAAGCCAUGCUGAGGCAGCGUUCCACAUAGCACAAGCAGAGGCACUCACAGCUGGAAUAUACAACUAUGUACUGGGGGCCUUUGGGGAGAAGAAGAAGAAGAAAAAGAAGAAGAUUGGCAACAGAAGUUAGCUCAGUUCUGAACAUCAAUCAAAAUCAGAGAAGCUCACCAUCCUGAUUCUGAUUCAGAAAUGAUUUGUUGUCCUCUCAACGGUUAAUCACAGAAUACAAAUUCCAAGGCUGAUCUGUAACUGAAAGAAAAGAAUUAGCUGAAGAGUGUGAAAGAAUAGUAUAAAAUGCUCACUAGAAGAGACAUAAAUACCUCUGCCUUCUGAGGUUCCUGAGGGUUGCAUGUCUUAGUCAUCUUUAUAUUCCUAGUAAUGGCUUGCCAAG